Molecule: long non-coding RNA, 679 nt
Filed under: Marmota monax (woodchuck)
Lineage: Eukaryota; Metazoa; Chordata; Mammalia; Rodentia; Sciuridae
Source: RNAcentral
UAAAUGAGGAAAAGUCACAAAAUAUUCUUUUGUUUAUGUAACACACAAGUAACUGCUUAAUUGGAAGCUUGUACAAUAAUUCAAUUAAUUGGUGAUUAUUAGUAAAUGCAAUUUGCACUUGGAUUUAAAAGACACAUUUGAAUUUCAUGAAACUUUGAACUACAGUAACCUAGAAAGUUAAGUGUUUUGAACUUAAAAAAAAGAUGAAGUCUGGUCUCAGACACUUUAGCUUGCUACAUGACCAUAAGUAAUCACAAACCUACCAUGAAACAUCAUCUUUAAGCCCAACUGCCUCACCAUAAAAUGGGGAUAGCAGCACUGCCCAUCUGCUAGGUUGUCAUGAGGAUUAAAUGAGAUAAUAUGUGUUAAAUAUGUUCUCUGCGCCUGGUUCGAAGUGAACUCCUUGAAAGCAUCAGCUAUCAUUCCAAUGUAGAAUAAGCAAAAAAACAAAAUUCAAUGUAUUUCACAGGCCAUGUCCUGAACAAAGUUUUGUCAAGCAUAAAAAAUGAACUUGCUUAACAUCUUUCCUAUUUGAAUAUCCCAUAAAUAACCAUCAAGUUCUUUUAUUCUGUUUGUGCUUCAUCUGGGCCCUUUGAUUAGUUCUUCCUGCAGCCACUUCACUUUUGACUUUGACUCAGGUUCUCUUCUGGUCUUACAUGUAUCCUUCACCUAAUUCUAU